This 493-nucleotide ribosomal RNA is filed under the name uncultured bacterium. RNAcentral describes it as "bacterial SSU rRNA". It matches the Rfam family "Bacterial small subunit ribosomal RNA", at positions 28 to 517 of the family's 1533-position model. The record is from RNAcentral.
GAUGAACGCUAGCGGCAGGCUUAAUACAUGCAAGUCGUGGGGCAGCAAGUUUGUAGCAAUACAGAUGCUGGCGACCGGCAAACGGGUGCGGAACACGUACAGAACCUUCCUUUGAGCGGGGAAUAGCCCAGAGAAAUUUGGAUUAAUACCCCAUAGUAUAAUGAAGUGGCAUCACUUUAUUAUUAAGAUUUAUCACUCGAAGAUGGCUGUGCGGCUGAUUAGGUAGUUGGCGGGUAAAGGCCCACCAAGCCUGCGAUCAGUAACUGGUGUGAGAGCACGACCAGUCACACGGGCACUGAGACACGGGCCCGACUCCUACGGGAGCAGCAGUAAGGAAUAUUGGUCAAUGGAGGCAACUCUGAACCAGCCAUGCCGCGUGGAGGAUGAAGGUCCUCUGGAUUGUAAACUUCUUUAUAUGGACGAAAAAAGGCUUUUCUAAGUCGUCUGACGGUACCAUAUGAAUAAGCACCGGCUAACUCCGUGCCAGCAGCCG